GUGACGGGCAGCAAAAACAUAUGCCAGAGUAGUUGGCAAUUCAUUCCGCUGUGGCGAACCCUGAUAAUAAGUGACUCAGCCAGAGGAAAAUGAAUAAAUGAAUAAUGAAAAUAACUGAGAUGUUGUUUAUUUGGACAUUAUUUACCUUGCUGAAAAUGCUUUUGAACAGGUUUAGUUGUCGUCAGCAGCGAUGAGUGUAAAUAUGUGUGUGUUUCAGGUGUGUUUGACUCUGAGUUGAGUGGACUGCCGUUGUUGGAUAAAGCUUACGUGACGUCAGCUGAGCUUCACGCGUUUGCUUCGACACAGAAAAGACCUGCGGAGAUCCAGGACGCCUCCACAAACACUGAAGCAGGUGUGUAUGGAGCUACAAAUAUGACAAAACGAGCUCAGUUUGAAUCGUGUUCAUUUGAGAAACAUGCUUACACUGUGACAUUCACACACUCGUACACUACAACCAGUUAAGUUCAUCAAUUCCUCAAUAGCGCAUGUGUUUGGACUGUGGGGGAAACCUGGGAAGGACACCCACACCAACAUGGGGAGAACAUGCAAACUCCACACAGAAAUGACAACUGACCCAGCCAGGACUCGAAACAGCGACUUUCUUGCUUUGCAGGCAACAGUGCUGACCACUGAGCCACCGUGCCGCCCUAUUAAAUUAUAAUUGUGAAUAAUUCAAAUGAACAUAACACAAUUCAGAUUCAGGUUAUUUUGUCACAUUUUUAGCUCCAUAGUGUGGCUGGAGCAGUGUCUUACAGUUACCUCACUUCUGCUUUUGUUCACUGCAGAUCCGCCUCGCUCCAUCACAGAUAAAGCCGUUUCUGUCCAGAUUCCUCCAUCUCCCAGCAUGCCAUCUGCUCCUGAAGGAGGACUGCUCGAUGUUGCUCCAGUUGUUCCUCCAGACGUCUUCAUGAACCUUCGGUACGCUAAAGAAAAACCAUCAGACCAACCGGAGAACAGCAGCCGUCCAGAGUCAGAUCAUGGAGGAGUUACUGUGAGUCCUGAGGGACGGAGGUUCAUCAAUGUGGUGGAUCUGACAGACGAGUCUCUUCUGGAGAAUCUGCCUCAGUCUCCGCCCACAUCUGCUCAACUCCACCUACUGGCAGCAUCUGUCGUAAACCACGCCCCUAACCCCUCCCACACCUUCACCCCAAACACGCCUGAAGAGAUUCCAGGUGCAGUCACAGUUCACAGAAAUACAGAAGGGAUUUUUUUAGGGCAGUUAUAUAUAAUCAGCAAUAUAU
This 1241-nucleotide long non-coding RNA is filed under the name Danio rerio (zebrafish). RNAcentral's name for it is "lncRNA (ENSDARG00000117666.1)". Lineage: Eukaryota; Metazoa; Chordata; Actinopteri; Cypriniformes; Danionidae. The record is from RNAcentral.